This 207-nucleotide ribosomal RNA is filed under the name uncultured bacterium. RNAcentral's name for it is "partial 16S ribosomal RNA". It matches the Rfam family "Bacterial small subunit ribosomal RNA", at positions 524 to 728 of the family's 1533-position model. The record is from RNAcentral.
UACGUAGGGUGCGAGCGUUGUCCGGAAUUAUUGGGCGUAAAGAGCUUGUAGGCGGUUUGUCGCGUCUGCUGUGAAAAUCCGGGGCUCAACCCCGGACUUGCAGUGGGUACGGGCAGACUAGAGUGUGGUAGGGGAGACUGGAAUUCCUGGUGUAGCGGUGAAAUGCGCAGAUAUCAGGAGGAACGACCCGAUGGCGAAGGCAGGUCU